CCUACGGGUGGCAGCAGUGGGGAAUAUUGGACAAUGGGCGAAAGCCUGAUCCAGCCAUGCCGCGUGUGUGAAGAAGGCCUUCGGGUUGUAAAGCACUUUCAGUGGGGAAGAAAGCCUUGGGGCUAAUACCCUCGAGGAAGGACAUCACCCACAGAAGAAGCACCGGCUAACUCCGUGCCAGCAGCCGCGGUAAUACGGAGGGUGCGAGCGUUAAUCGGAAUUACUGGGCGUAAAGCGCGCGUAGGCGGUCUGAUAAGCCGGUUGUUAAAGCCCCGGGCUCAACCUGGGAACGGCAUCCGGAACUGUCAGGCUAGAGUGCAGGAGAGGAAGGUAGAAUUCCCGGUGUAGCGGUGAAAUGCGUAGAGAUCGGGAGGAAUACCAGUGGCGAAGGCGGCCUUCUGGACUGACACUGACGCUGAGGUGCGAAAGCGUGGGUAGCAAACAGGAUUAGAUACCCGUGUAGUC
Molecule: ribosomal RNA, 465 nt
Filed under: Vreelandella stevensii
Lineage: Bacteria; Pseudomonadati; Pseudomonadota; Gammaproteobacteria; Oceanospirillales; Halomonadaceae
Description: partial 16S ribosomal RNA
Rfam family: Bacterial small subunit ribosomal RNA
Source: RNAcentral